RNA transcript from Procambarus clarkii (red swamp crayfish), 6377 nucleotides. It is a transcript of the gene named nuclear pore complex protein Nup214, with no coding region annotated. Lineage: Eukaryota; Metazoa; Arthropoda; Malacostraca; Decapoda; Cambaridae. The record is from RefSeq and is a predicted model, not a curated record.
AGUGUUUGGAGAACGUUGAGGGUAACCACAGUCAUCCCUCCGUCUGAUUCCUCAUGAGCAGUUUGAAAUUUGUCUCACAAAACUAAUGAAUUAACUGAACUCCAUUUAGUGUAUGAGUCUUGGAAGAUGGAAGACGGUCCUGAGAGCGAGCCCAGCACGACUAUAAGAUUUGUCUCAAACUAUGGUGCAGUAUUUUCUAAAGAUGACGUGAUCUUACCAGAUGACCAGUGCAGUCUGGUGGUGGUUGCUGCUAAAUAUGGGUUGAUUUUUGUUGGUUGUGGAACAGUUUUUAAAGUAUUUGAAUCCAGAACAGUGGUUGAGGAUAAAGAGAAGAAUCCUUUGGCCACCAUAAACAUUGGUGCUGCUGUCACCCAUGUUACUUGUAGCUGUGAUGGCCUCACACUCAUGGUUGUCAUCCUUCACAAUAAUGUUCCGCAUGCCCUCUUUUAUGAGAUCCGCAACUUUGUGCCAGGUUGUGGAGAUCAAAUGCCUUUCGUCAGUACAACACUGAGUUCAGUCAGUGGAGCCCGGGUGCAAGGACUUGCGUGGAACCCUGUUGACCCUUCAAGUAUUGCUUUAGCAGCAUCUCCAAGCUCACUCUCAAUCAUCACACUUAAAGAAAGUGAAGUAAGCAUUCACUCAAAAGAAAUUCAAGCACGAGCUGUAGGAUGGUCUCCAAAGGGAAAGCAGUUAACAGUUGGUUUAGCUGAUGGAACCUUGGCAUUAUUUAAACCGGAUUUGACAGCUGUGCGAAAUGUAUCGAGGCCUCCUAUGGACGAUGUUGGCUCAGUGCUAAGUGUAACUUGGUUUACCAACACCGAAUUCUUCAUCAGCUAUAGGAUAGUGUCCGAGGAGGGUGCACAUGUUAUGAUGUACGUAAACGCCCCUAAAGCAAAAGAGUCAAGAUUUGUUAUUUAUGAAUACUUGUGCAACUACAACCAAGGUCCACGACCAGCUAUGUUUUAUUCAAAUUUCUUCGCAGAAUGGAGCCUUAUGUGUGUGUUGUCAUCACGAGCCAACCAGUUAGGAGUCUUGGGCCACCCUGAAAGUGGUGGUGAAAAUUGGUGUGAAUAUGAAAUUGAAGAAGGUGGGAGAGCUGAAGUUCACUCUGUCUCUGUAACUGAAGAAACAUUUCCUUUAGGCUUGGCAGUGGACUUCACAUCACAGAAGAUUUUUAUUAAUAAAGAUGAAACCACCUUUGGUCCUUGUCCUGUAAUCUUCACCUUGUCAACUGGAGGAGAGCUUAACAUGUUCCAUGUGGUUAAUGCCAGACCAGAUGCUCCAGCCCUAACCUGCCCCUUGGAGAGUCUCCCUAAUAAUGGGCAUCGCUCUCCACAGCAGUAUGGGGGAGUUGCCAGUUACGUUGCUCCUGCAGUUUUGAACAUCCCAAAAGUUGAUAUCAGUACACCCUCAAACAUACCAGGAUUAACAGUUAAUAUACCUAAAAUGACUAUAGAACAUGGAGCAUUAACUGGAGGAGCAUUUCCUGUUACAUCAAGUUUAUUUGAUAGUUCCACGCCAGAACAGCAUGCUGGGGCAGGAAUGGGACCAAAAUUGACAUCAUUUCCUCAGCAGACAUCUGAUAAUAUAAAGUCAAACUUUUCAUUUGCCAAGACAUCAUCUGGAAUUUUUGACUCUAGUACCCCCGUCACAGGAUCUUCUGGGAGUACAAGUUCAUUCUUUGGAACUGCAAAACCUCCAUCUUCACCUUCUAAAGUUUUAUCUUCCUUCAUGUCUCCUUCAUCUACAUCAAGUGUUGCAAUGUCCAAUGCUGAAAUUUCAUCUGCAUCACCAUUUAGUAUUGAAAGAAAAGCUGAAGGUGCCAAAACUUCUCAUGCUGGAAACAGUGGUCAGCAAACAUCAGCAAAUACUGCUGGACAAGGAUUGAAGUUUCCAUCUUUUCAGCUGCCACAAGCAAGUACUGUAGCCGGGAGCAUUAUUCAGGGUAAACCAGCUCUUUCCCCAGUCAGCUGUACUCCCAUCAAUGCUAAAAAAUCUCCAGUCACCUCUGACAUUACAAAGCAAGCCGAAACACAGAGUAGCAGCAGAUUCCCAUGUCCGGCACCUGGCCAAGCAUUACUUGCAGGGAAGGAAAUGGAUUCAUGUCUCAUAUCAACAAUUGAAGUUGCAUCAGCUCAGUUUGAGGAAGAACUUCAUGAUCAUGUAAACCAAAGAGAGUCCAGCAAUGAGAUUGGCACAAAGCAAGAGAUGGGAAAUAUUCGGCGGUCUCUAAUUGAAGAAAUGGAAUGGAUCAAUCAGAUGUCAUCUACCACAACUGAGCUGAAAGGGGAGGUAUCCCAGUUGCAUUCAGAUGUCUUGGAGGGCUACACACUGCUGGAGGAAGCCGAAGCACAACUCAGCAAAAGUAAAAAUCCACGGCACUACUUGUCCCUUCAGUCACGACCUCUUGACCCACGUAGUCGCAAGAAACUGGAGGAAGUACGCUCUUUAUAUCAGUAUCUUCAGAGUCAAUUGGGCGAGGUGGACAUUAGACUUCAUCUUGAUUGGGCUGCCUUCACAAAUACCACAAACAAAAAAAAACAUGAAUUACCAGCAUCGGAAACGCUGUACCAAGCCCUACGAAAGUGCCACAGUCUACGAAUGGUAUGUGAGAAGCAAGUAGAUGCUCUUUGUGACCGACUAAAAACCCUCCAACUCAGUUUUCUCAAGUUUGGGUUUGCACCAUCUCAUCGGCAGUACGAAGAUGAUGAUGCUCUGGCUAUCCUUGAGAGAACUCUUCGAGAGACUACACUGUCUCCAAAUCCUCAUCUCUCACCACUCAAAAUGCUGCCUCCUAAGAAGCAGAACAAGUUGCAGAAGGUUCUUGCUCAAAGAAGCACCAUUCCACUAAGGAAAUGCUCGGAUAUCCCGAAGUUGGAUCUUGCUUCACAUGAAAGUCUCUCCUCUUCUUUUAGUCAAAAUGGAUCACCGGAUACAUCUGCAGUACAUCAAAAACCGUCAUCACGCGCUUCUAAUUUAGAAAAUUCCAUGUCUACAUCCUUUGGACCACGGACAUUCUCUACUCCAAAUCGAAUUAGCAACUUGUCUCGUACAAAUGAUGGAUUUGAAACACGUAAACUGGCAGUUCCUGGAAGAACUAAUAUAAAUGCAUCUUCAAUAAGUCAGAUAUCAAAUCAGCUUCUACCAUUAUCCCAACUUGGUGAUAAUCGAUCUUCUACUUCCAUUACAGCUUCAAAAAAUAAUUCAUUUUCUGCAGUAUCAGUAUCUUCAGGAAACAGAACAACCGGUUUUGCUCUUAAUAUUCCAACUGCCUCUAGCACGAAAUUAAUUGGAACAGAAUGUGUUGUCAAGCCUCAGUAUGAAGAUAUAACUCCACCACAAACCCCAGAUAAUAAAGUUGAAACUGGAAUGAAAGCUGCAAGCCCAUUAUUGGCAUUGUCAUCUUUGGUAUCAAAAGUGCCCACCACUACAGCUGUAGAUGCAACCCCUCCGAGUUCUGCAUCACUCUCUGAUGCAAAGCCCAUGUUUGGUGGUACAUUUAGUGUAAACCAAACUUCUGAUGUAGCUAAAAGCCAGACAGAUGUCACAGUCUCUGCGACGGCCUUCUCUCAUAAACCUUUGUCUGUUACUUUAUUAAAACCUUCUCUAACGCCUUCAGUUCCAUUUUCUUUUGUACCUUUUUCUCCGCCAAGCACUGCCUUCUCUACUACUCCAGAAACAAACUCUUCUGAUAAAGUACAAGGUGUGUCUUCCUCUGCAAGUUUUCUCUUCAAACUGCCUUCAACGACAGUUGAAUCUAAUAGUACAUCAACAGUAUCGGUAGAUCCUGAAGCAUCUCGUGCAAGUGUGACUUCAAGCUCUCUCUUUUCUUUCAAAUCUAAAAGUCUUAGCACUUCAACUAAUAACACAUCAUUUACUUUCAAAUCAUCCACACUUCCCAGCAAUACUUCUGUAACAACCACAAACUCUGAAGGAUCACUACCAAGGAAUUCUUCUAUUUCAGCAAUGUUGUCAAGGCCGAGCAAUCUUUUUGGCGGUGUGAUUUCUGGAACAGUUGAUGGUGAUUCUAAUUCUUCCCCAGUUGUCACCACCAUACCAUUUACUACCCACGGUUCAUUGCCAACCACCACCACUGGCUUGUUUUCUAUUAGCUCUGUAACUUCACCUACUACUGAAUCGGACACGGUCUCAAAUACAGUUGUAGCAGAUAAUGCUGCAUUUUCAGGAGGGUCUAAUUCUUCUGGACAGGAAACAUCACCUCAAAGUAAACUUGAAAAGCAGCUAGCACCUAGUAUAUUUACACCCAUUCCCAUGGUAUCGACAUCUGCAACUGGCAAUGAUAUACCUGAAAAGAACCAAGAAUCAGAUUCAUCUAGUUUGUUUGGAAAUGGCACACCCAUGACUUCAAAACACUUCUCACUGCCCACAUCAUCUACUGGUAGCCUAUUCGGAGGAUCAAGUACAUCAGGGAGUUUGUUUGGAGAAAUAUCUGCAGCCUCUAGAAAUAUUUUUGGAACUUCAACUGCUGCUGCUACAACUAUUACUACUACAGUAGCAGCAACUAUUAGUAAUUCCACUAAUACAACAAUGUCAUCAGCUGGCAGUAUUUUUGGAGGUAUAACUACAUCAUCUAACAGUAUCUUUGGUAAUGCACUAGGAACCUCUAAAGGAAGCAUUUUUGGGGGUAUAACUUCAACUACUGCUGCUAGUACAUGUACAGCUACAUCCAGUAGUAGUACAUCUGCCUUAGCAACAUCAAGUGGAAGCCUAUUUGGUUCACCAUUGACACUAGGUAGUGGUCCAAGCACAAGUUCUACAACAACCACUGGUAGCAUGUUUGCCAGCUCGUUGACAACUGCAUCGUCCACAGGCAGUCUCUUUGCUGCACCAGUUUCUACUGGAUCUGGUGGAACAUUUGGACAGCCAUCUGUUUUUGGGGCCAUAACGACAUCCAGUUCAGGCUCGGCAUUUAGUUCUUUGAAUUCUGCUAGCAGUGGUUUUAGUGGGAAUGUUGCUACAACACCAACAGGGAAUUCACCUUUUGGACAGACGUCUUCACAGGGUUCAUCCUCUGCAUUUGGUCAAAAUACUCAGAGCUCUUCAGGAUCAUUAUUUGCAAUGCCAUCUGCAACAGGAUCAGUGUUUGGGGGCACAGGCCAAAGUGGUUCUGUCUUUGGUAGCUCCACAUCCCAAGGAGGAGGAAUAUUUGGUGGGACACCUGCAGUGUCUUCUGGAUCAUCAUUAUUUGGGCAGUCCACCAUAAAUUCGGGAAGCAGUAGUGGAAGUGGCGGAUCAGUAUUUGGCCAGAGCUCGGCAGCAAAUGCUUCUCCUUUUUCCACAACCAGCACACCAAAGCCUGAGUCUACACCAUUUGGAUCCUCAACAGGAUUUGGGACAGGUACUGACAGUGGAGGAGGCUUCUUUAGUGGACUUGGCAGUAAACCAAGUGAAGAUAGUGCCAACAAAAAUGUGUUUGGUUCUACAUCUUUUUCUGCCAUUAAACCCCAAUCUAGUUUGUUUGGAGGUUCAGGUACAUCCAGUAGUCUGUUUGGAGGCAGUGUUUUUGGAGGCGAUGCUAGCAGUGGAGGCGGCAGCAGUUUCACUUCUGCUGCAGGCCAAGUUGGCCAAAGUGGAUUUAGUGCAACAUCACCUCAGAGCUCAUCAGGUUUUGGAAGUAGUUCAGGUUUUGGCAGUCCUGCAACGUUUGGGGGUGCACCAGCAUUUGGUUCGCCUCCAAAGUUUGGAAGCCCUCCAACGUUUGGUGGUACAGCUACUUUUGGAUCUCCUCUAUCGGGAAAUGCUGGUGGGGGUUUUAGCAGCUUUGCCUCAACAGGGGCUUCAACAUUUGGAUCAGUGGCUAGUUCAUCGCCAGCAACCAGUACAGGUUUUGCAAGCUUCACCGCUCAAACCAAUACAGCAUCUUUUGGAGGGCUAGCUCAGUCUGCAAACCAACAACAACAAGGAAGUGCAUUUGGUUCUACUGGAAAUGCUUUUGGAAGAUACCGAGAUGAAACAGUAUGAGUAACUGUAUGUGACAAAAUGAGUAGAGGCAGCAAAUGCAACAUGUUACAUUAAUUGUAUCAAAGGAUUGGGAGUAGCUUCUCUUCCUGGCGUUGAGUACAUAAGGACAAGGACACUUCUGCAGCGAAAUUGUAACGCCCUUUAUUUAAAUAUUCAAUAUCUUUCAUGUUAUAUUUAUUUACACAAGAAACAAUAAGAUGAAAUGCAAAUAUGUAAUGUUUUUAUCUCAAGUUUGUCUGCUGUAAGGAAUAUAAGAUUUCUGUAGCAUUGUAUUCAUGAUUAUAGCUUUUAUUUUGAGUUUUACACUUAAAAAUUGCAAUAUUUUGUAAACUAAAGGAGCUUUUUUAUUAAAAUAAAGAAAAAUUCAGUACAGUAUAUGAAAUAUGCUGGCUAUA